GUAGCUUGCUACUUGACCUAGCGGCGGACGGGUGAGUAAUGCUUAGGAAUCUGCCUAUUAGUGGGGGACAACAUCUCGAAAGGGAUGCUAAUACCGCAUACGUCCUACGGGAGAAAGCAGGGGACCUUCGGGCCUUGCGCUAAUAGAUGAGCCUAAGUCGGAUUAGCUAGUUGGUGGGGUAAAGGCCUACCAAGGCGACGAUCUGUAGCGGGUCUGAGAGGAUGAUCCGCCACACUGGGACUGAGACACGGCCCAGACUCCUACGGGAGGCAGCAGUGGGGAAUAUUGGACAAUGGGGGGAACCCUGAUCCAGCCAUGCCGCGUGUGUGAAGAAGGCCUUUUGGUUGUAAAGCACUUUAAGCGAGGAGGAGGCUACCGAGAUUAAUACUCUUGGAUAGUGGACGUUACUCGCAGAAUAAGCACCGGCUAACUCUGUGCCAGCAGCCGCGGUAAUACAGAGGGUGCAAGCGUUAAUCGGAUUUACUGGGCGUAAAGCGCGCGUAGGUGGCCAAUUAAGUCAAAUGUGAAAUCCC
Molecule: ribosomal RNA, 533 nt
Filed under: Acinetobacter lwoffii
Lineage: Bacteria; Pseudomonadati; Pseudomonadota; Gammaproteobacteria; Moraxellales; Moraxellaceae
Description: bacterial SSU rRNA
Rfam family: Bacterial small subunit ribosomal RNA
Source: RNAcentral